Molecule: non-coding RNA, 84 nt
Organism: Oleoguttula mirabilis
Lineage: Eukaryota; Fungi; Ascomycota; Dothideomycetes; Mycosphaerellales; Teratosphaeriaceae
Source: the annotation of a GenBank genome assembly
GGCCGAUUGGCUCAAUGGUAGAGCGUUCCCCUCCUAUAUCAUGGAAAUAGGGAAAGGUUGUGGGUUCGAGUCCCAUGUUGGUCG